AGAGUUUGAUCCUGGCUCAGGACGAACGCUGGCGGCGUGCUUAACACAUGCAAGUCGAGCGGAAAGGCCCUUUUGGGGGUACUCGAGCGGCGAACGGGUGAGUAACACGUGAGUAACCUGCCCUGGACUUUGGGAUAACCCUCGGAAACGGGGGCUAAUACCGGAUAUGACACGGUUUUGCAUGAGGUCGUGUGGAAAGAUUUUUUGGUCUGGGAUGGGCUCGCGGCCUAUCAGCUUGUUGGUGGGGUGAUGGCCUACCAAGGCGACGACGGGUAGCCGGCCUGAGAGGGCGACCGGCCACACUGGGACUGAGACACGGCCCAGACUCCUACGGGAGGCAGCAGUGGGGAAUAUUGCACAAUGGGCGCAAGCCUGAUGCAGCGACGCCGCGUGAGGGAUGACGGCCUUCGGGUUGUAAACCUCUUUCAGCAGGGACGAAGCGUGAGUGACGGUACCUGCAGAAGAAGCGCCGGCCAACUACGUGCCAGCAGCCGCGGUA
Molecule: ribosomal RNA, 499 nt
Filed under: uncultured Actinomycetes bacterium
Lineage: Bacteria; Bacillati; Actinomycetota; Actinomycetes
Description: bacterial SSU rRNA
Rfam family: Bacterial small subunit ribosomal RNA
Source: RNAcentral